GUGGGGGACAACAGUCGGAAACGACUGCUAAUACCGCAUACGUCCUAAGGGAGAAAGUGGGGGAUCUAUUUAUAGACCUCACGCUAUUCGAUGAGCCCGCGUAAGAUUAGUUAGUUGGUGGGGUAAAGGUUUAUUAAGGUGACGAUCUUUAGCUGGUCUGAGAGGAUGAUCAGCCAUAUUGGGAUUGAGAUAUGGCCCAAACUCCUAUGGGAGGCAGCAGUGGGGAAUAUUGCACAAUGGGGGAAACCCUGAUGCAGCCAUGCCGCGUGUGUGAAGAAGGCUCUAGGGUUGUAAAGCACUUUCAGUGGGGAGGAAAGGAAGUAUGUUAAUAGCAUAUAUCUGUGACGUUACCCACAGAAGAAGCACCGGUUAACUCCGUGUUAGCAGUUGUGGUAAUACGGAGGGUGCAAGCGUUAAUCGGAAUUACUGGGCGUAAAGCGCGCGUAGGCGGUUGUCUAAGCUAGAUGUGAAAGCCCCGGGCUUAACCUGGGAACUGCAUUUAGAACUGGGCAACUAGAGUACAGCAGAGGAGUGUGGAAUUUCAGGUGUAGUGGUGAAAUGUGUAGAGAUCUGAAGGAAUAUUAGUGGCGAAGGCGACACUCUGGGUUGAUACUGACGCUGAGGUGCGAAAGCGUGGGGAGUAAACAGGAUUAGAUAUCCUGGUAGUCCACGCCGUAAACGAUGUCUACUAGCCGUUGGGGUCUUUGAGGCCUUAGUGGCGCAGCUAAUGCAAUAAGUAGACCGCCUGGGGAGUACGGCCGCAAGGUUAAAACUCAAAUGAAUUGACGGGGGCCCGCACAAGCGGUGGAGCAUGUGGUUUAAUUCGAAGCAAUGUGAAGAACCUUACCAGGUCUUGAUAUCCCGAGAAUUUUCUAGAAAUAGAUUAGUGCCUUCGGGAACUCGGUGAUAGGUGCUGUAUGGCGUCGUCAGCUCGCGUUGUGAGAUGUUGGGUUAAGUUUUGUAACGAGCGUAACCCUUGUCCUUAGUUGCCAUCAGGUAAUGUUGGGAAUUCUAAGGAGACUGCCGGUGAUAAACCGGAGGAAGGUGGGGACGACGUCAAGUCAUCAUGGCCCUUACGACCUGGGCUACACGCGUGCUACAAUGGGGAGUAUAAAGGGUUGCCAAGCCGUAAGGUUUAGCUAAUCCCAUAAAACUUCUCGUAGUCCGGAUUGGAGUCUGUAAUUUGACUCCAUGAAGUCGGAAUCGCUAGUAAUCGUGAAUUAGAAUGUUACGGUGAAUACGUUCCCGGGCCUUGUAUAUAUUGCCCGUCACACCAUGGGAGUGGGUUGCAAAAGAAGUAGCU
This 1303-nucleotide ribosomal RNA is filed under the name metagenome. RNAcentral describes it as "bacterial SSU rRNA". It matches the Rfam family "Bacterial small subunit ribosomal RNA", at positions 136 to 1431 of the family's 1533-position model. The record is from RNAcentral.